GGGCCUGUAGCUCAACGGCAGAGCAGGCGGCUCAUAACCGCUUGGUUCCAGGUUCGAGUCCUGGCGGGCCCA
RNAcentral lists this transfer RNA (72 nucleotides) under Anaerolineales bacterium. RNAcentral's name for it is "tRNA-Ile". It matches the Rfam family "tRNA". From Rfam's summary of the family: Transfer RNA (tRNA) molecules are approximately 80 nucleotides in length. Their secondary structure includes four short double-helical elements and three loops (D, anti-codon, and T loops). The record is from RNAcentral. Lineage: Bacteria; Bacillati; Chloroflexota; Anaerolineae; Anaerolineales.